This 310-nucleotide RNase P RNA is filed under the name Croceibacter atlanticus HTCC2559. Its description in RNAcentral is "Bacterial RNase P class A". It matches the Rfam family "Bacterial RNase P class A". Rfam says of the family: Ribonuclease P (RNase P) is a ubiquitous endoribonuclease, found in archaea, bacteria and eukarya as well as chloroplasts and mitochondria. Its best characterised activity is the generation of mature 5'-ends of tRNAs by cleaving the 5'-leader elements of precursor-tRNAs. Cellular RNase Ps are ribonucleoproteins. Lineage: Bacteria; Pseudomonadati; Bacteroidota; Flavobacteriia; Flavobacteriales; Flavobacteriaceae. The record is from Rfam by way of RNAcentral. RNAcentral also lists the same sequence under 2 other names.
AAAGCAGAUCGCCUUAUCGCUGUAUGAAUUUUCAUAGAGAGGAAAGUCCGGACACCAUAGCACAUUGUAGCGGCUAACAGCCGUCCGUUUUUAAGACGAGGACAAGUGCAACAGAAAGAAUGUACAGGUUAAGCUGUAGUGAAACCAGGUAAACUCUACAAGGUGCAAUGUCAUGUAAAUCAACGUUUGAGGGUUGUGCGCCCAAUGUUGAAGGGUAGGCAGCUAGAGAUUAUUGGCAACAAUAAUUCAAGAUAAAUGAUAAGGGCUUCUUUUAGGAGUACAGAAUCCGGCUUAUAGAUCUGCUUUUUUU